This 539-nucleotide long non-coding RNA is filed under the name Trifolium pratense (red clover). Its description in RNAcentral is "long non-coding RNA (TPRA_LNC007440)". Lineage: Eukaryota; Viridiplantae; Streptophyta; Magnoliopsida; Fabales; Fabaceae. The record is from RNAcentral.
GUCUUUGAUUUGUCUCCCUCUGUCGUCUUGUCCAAUAUUCGGUCAAUUUUCUUUCAUUUGGCGAGGAUGCCACCCACCACUAGAUCUCCACUAGAAGCGAAGUUUGUUCCUUAUGGUAUACUUCCCAACCUAGUUAAAGAGGUUAUGAUUCGUACGUACUCGUUGUCGAUUUAAAGUAGAUGAUCGAGGAUGCGGCGUUCAUGUCGACGGACGUGAUUGGUUGUAGUAGUAGUUAGUGUUGAGGUGCCUAGAGGAAGACGGAUAUUGCUAAAGGUAUUGCAACAACUUAUUGUGAUUGUUGUUGAGAAGUAGCAUGAUAAUGAUAAUCUAAGACAAACAAAUCUUGAUGGGCCACAAGUAGUUAGCCAGGGUGAGUACUAGAUGAUAACCCCAUCUAGAGAGAAUGAUGUUGAUAUAGAGAAAUUCAUGAUACUUAAAUCCUUACCUUUUCUACGUCUAGUGUGCGUGAGGAUCCACUUAAAUUCAUUGACUAUCUAAAGAGGUUAUAAAAAGCAUUAGGAUGCUCAGAUAUAAGGGCG